AACCACUAGUGGAAAACCAACGAAGAAGAUAAGUCUUCUUCUAAUUCAUUAAUUAGUUUAUUAUUAUUAUAUUUUAUUUUAUCAUUUGUGAUGUUUAUCAUAUGACCAUUACUGUGACACGUGUAUAGCCUGACCACACUACAUACCUUUAUUUUUAUUAUUUUAUCGCCUCACAAUUACUAUAGCUCGUGGCAUUGUCUGACCAAAUUAGAUAUCCUCAUUAUUUGAAUGAAAAUAUAUUUAUAUAAUAUAUUGUGUGUCUCCCCAUUGUCAUUAUAUUAAGAUUACAUGCUACACUAGUCACGUUAUGGUCAGAACGCUUUCCAUCAUAUUUCACUAGUGACAUACAUAUUUAGGCAAUUACUUAUGCAAUAUUUAUUCAUUGCCUAGUGAUAUUGUGAUGCCUUUAACUGUGUCACAUAUGAAACAAGUCAUUGACCACACAAUUUGCAUAGUAUGACUUUAUACUUUUGCCAAACUCUGUGAUUGAUUUAUUAAUUAUGCAUUCAUGCUUAUACUAUUAUUUAUUGUCAGGACUCCAUUGAUCAACAUUGUUACUGAUCAACUUAUAGAUCGAUGAGCCACAUGCUUAUGAUGACAAAGAUUUAGUCUGAACGGUGAUCUCUUGUUUGACCGGACACCAGCUUGCUCGGACACUCGUUUAUUUGGACACCUAUGUGCUCGGACACCCAUUCGUUUGGGCACUUACAAGAUUGGACACCCACAUGCUUGGAC
RNAcentral lists this long non-coding RNA (735 nucleotides) under Malus domestica (apple). RNAcentral's name for it is "long non-coding RNA (MDOM_LNC005902)". The record is from RNAcentral. Lineage: Eukaryota; Viridiplantae; Streptophyta; Magnoliopsida; Rosales; Rosaceae.